This 134-nucleotide ribosomal RNA is filed under the name Amanita chepangiana. RNAcentral's name for it is "partial 18S ribosomal RNA". The stretch from base 1 to 57 matches the Rfam family "Eukaryotic small subunit ribosomal RNA", at positions 1773 to 1831 of the family's 1831-position model. Lineage: Eukaryota; Fungi; Basidiomycota; Agaricomycetes; Agaricales; Amanitaceae. The record is from RNAcentral.
UUGGAAGUAAAAAGUCGUAACAAGGUUUCCGUAGGUGAACCUGCGGAAGGAUCAUUAAUGGAUUGAAACUCUGGCAGAUGGCUGUUGCUGGCUCUCACUGGGAGGGCACUGUGCACGCCCUCUUGCUCGUUUCC